Non-coding RNA from Taeniopygia guttata (zebra finch), 1996 nucleotides. The record is from RefSeq and is a predicted model, not a curated record. NCBI's taxonomy places the organism in Eukaryota, Metazoa, Chordata, Aves, Passeriformes, Estrildidae.
ACCGCGCCGGGGGGCGGCCCCGGCGGGGAGGCGGUGCGGGAUGGGCAGAGCGGCAGUGUGAGUGACUGCCGCCGGCCUGCAGGCCCUUCCGUUAAAGCCGCCCGUCUUAUCGCCCAAGGUUGCAGCGUCUAGAUCGUCUUGUGCUUCUUCCCACAGAAAUUGCUCCGGGCAGUGCUUUACAGAACACAAGAGGAGACCGCUGACAGCAUCAAGCCAUCCCAUGUCAUCUCUGCAACUGAAACAGUGAUGGAAGGCGUUACUUAGCAGCAAUGCUGGAAAGCCUAUGUAAGAGGUGUGUGUAAUAGUCAGAUACUGAAGAGAUCCAGGGGGACUUUGGUAAACUGAAAAAGUAAAAAAUUCCAUACUCGGAUACUUUGUCAUCCAGUGGUAUUCAUGUAAACCCAGAAAACUCAUCUGUCUUUGCUAAAUGUUUGUAUGGCACAUGAUCUAGAAACGUUGAAUGACAAAAUUGAUGGCAUCAGUAUUAGCAGUCUUUUAAAAAAUGUUUCUGGGAAAGAAAAGGGAUGAAUGAACUAUAAUUUUAAAUAUCCUUAAAUUUUGACUUUGUCUGGUACAGUUCUUCCAGAGCAAUUAUUUGCCCCCUGUUUUAAUUCAGCUGAGCUUAAGUAAACACAUUUUUGAGACAGAAGGGAUGGGCAAUAUAAUUGUAUCUUUCUACAUCAGCCAUCACUCUCUAGUUAGUGUUUGGUGUCUUAUUAUCUUAAAAUUGUACAAGGAAAAUGCUCAUAGUAUGAUUAUGAUAUAAAAAAUUAUAUAUGCUGAUAGCUAGUGGAAGUUAUAUAUUUCAGUGUAUGGUAUAAAUGUUCUGGCAUUCAUGACUUCUCAGCUAAAAGUUUAUUCAUAAUAAAGAAGAUGUGAAAGAGGAUGGUACCAAUUUUUAAGUACCUAUUGUGUAAAAAUUCUUACUACAGAGAAAAUUACAGUUGUUCCUAAAAAAAGGUGUUCACAUACAAGGUUAUUAAGAACAAGCUAGUGCUGUGUAAAUCCAUACAAAGACUUGCCAUUUAGUCAAUACUUGAACCAUCACUGUGCACAGCAAACUUGUGCCAGUUGCUGCAUUAUCAGCAUCUUGAGCAAUUAAGUAAUCACUUUGUCACUGCUUGAGCUUAAAAAACUCUCCAUAAAGAUGAUUAUCAUUAUGUUGUAGAUAAACCACAUUUUAAUCCCUAUUCAUGAAAAGGAAUAGCACAUAAGUAUAAAAUUGUACUAGAGCAAAUGCAUGUUAUUCCAGCACAGUGUAUCUGUUUUGCUUGGGUUGCGCUGGUAUAAUAAAAUUAAUACAAUUAAAUCAAUUAAUGGGAAUUUGACUGGCAAGGGGUUUUUUGACAUGCUAGGUAUAGUAAGGCCUGAAUCCUGGCUGGGUUUCUAUGUGAUACUAGGGCGGGGAAAAAUUGAAAAUCAGAGACAGUGAAAAGUGAAAGCUGCUUGUGGACUCUAUAAUAAAGACAAUAAGAUUGGUGACAGCAAGCACUGCCCCUCCAGCCUAUGUUUGCUCAGCCUCGGGAGCAGCCCACUGACUACUCAUGCGCCUCUUACUAGAGUGUGGAGGCAGGAGAGUGAAAUUCUGCUUUAGAAAGGGCCAGAACAGAGAGGGACCACAUCUAAAAUACUUCAUAACAUCAGAGAGCCUAAAAGCUGUUUUAGAAGAGUUUUCACUUCCUUGCAUGUACAAGUCUGAUCUAAACAUAUUGUAUAUUUUUUAGGGAAUUAUAGCACUUAUGCGAGUUGAUUCAUCAGCAUAUCCUUCAGGUUUCACACAGAGUGGCUCUGACAUCAGCAGGGAUAUGCUGUCAUGAACCUUGAGUAACAUGGUGGUAAUUAAGUCCAGGAGUCUUUCUAGGGUCAUAAUUUGACUGUAUGCUUGUACAAAUUUGGCUCCAAAUUCGUAAGAUAGAGUCUUGUACACAGAACUCUUGCAGGUUACAGCACAGCAGCAGUAGUUGCAUGUAUAAGAUCAAUAAAAAUCUGAUCAUAA